GAUGAAGAACGCAGCGAAAUGCGAUAAGUAAUGUGAAUUGCAGAAUUCAGUGAAUCAUCGAAUCUUUGAACGCACAUUGCGCCCGCCAGUAUUCUGGCGGGCAUGCCUGUUCGAGCGUCAUUUCAACCAUCAAGCCCCAGGCUUGUGUUGGAGCCCUGCGGCUGCCGCAGCCUCCCAAAACCAGUGGCGGGCUCGCUAUCACACCGAGUGCAGUAGUUUACUCUUCGCUCAGGGCGUGUGGCGGGUGCUAGCCGUGAAACCCCCAACUUCUCAAGGUUGACCUCGGAUCAGGUAGGAAUACCCGCUGAACUUAAGCAUAUCAAUAAGCGGAGA
RNAcentral lists this unclassified non-coding RNA (333 nucleotides) under soil metagenome. Its description in RNAcentral is "partial contains 5.8S ribosomal RNA, internal transcribed spacer 2, and large subunit ribosomal RNA". The stretch from base 1 to 120 matches the Rfam family "5.8S ribosomal RNA", at positions 35 to 154 of the family's 154-position model. The record is from RNAcentral.